This 1320-nucleotide long non-coding RNA is filed under the name Homo sapiens (human). RNAcentral's name for it is "non-protein coding lnc-SERP2-5:1". The record is from RNAcentral. Lineage: Eukaryota; Metazoa; Chordata; Mammalia; Primates; Hominidae.
AACACAUACCAUCCUGAAUGUUCUUCCAAAAGAACAUGUACAGAAAAUGCUGUCCUUCUGCCAGAAUACAGGCUCCUUGCCAACCCCCACCACUCUCCACCUUGAGACCAAACACUCAGCAAGCUGAAGCUUGCAGGCCACGGUGACUGGCUCCAUGCUGCCUUGGGAAGCCCUACAUGACCUCUACAUGGUCCUUCUUCAGUAUGUGAAGUACAGAGGCAACACCAGGACAUUUUGAAGGGCAAAAGAAGGUUCAAUGGGGCAAUUUCCAAGGCAUCUUGCUCCACUGCUGGUAAGCAAUUAGCAGGCUUUCUACAGGGACUUCUCAAAAGAGGAUCCAGAAGGCAGGCUCAGCAUUGCAGCCUGGCUGCAGGCCACAGUGUGGCAGACGCAUGUAUUCAUGGGCAUGUCAAAUACAUCACUUCAAUACGAAAUUCAUAGGCCCAACAUUCAUCUGCGAGAUUGAACACUGGGUAGCUCAAAAGCUAGUCUUCUGAAAGCAUCCUACAAAACACCCGAAGUUGCCGUUCCAGAAUUGCUAUAAUUUCACGACUGUGCAAGCUGUACUAGUAGUACACAGGCAAAGGGAUAGAAAAAAGAUUAUAUUAAUGCUCAAGGGGGAAAAGCAAGAUUAUAAAGGACUUAGCAGAGCUAUGUUCUGAUAAUAAACCAAGAGCAUUUAGGACCCAACCUAGAAAAAAAUGGAUUUACAGCCGAAGUCUUUCCUGUUUGGGGCUACAGCAUCAUUCUGUCAUUCUAACCACAUUUAUCCUGAACCUCCCCCCACCACCCGCUGCCCAUGUGCUGGCCACCGUGCUGGGAUCAACAAAACUGAAUGAGACACAGGACCUGAUACUGGGGAGCUGACCAUCUAGCAGGUGACGUAUGGAUGGAUGAAGCAUCUUAGGACAUCUAAAGAAAGAGAUCACUCCUCCAUACUGAUCCUAAAGUUGACCUCCAGAUAACAUUCUGUCACAUGCAUGUGCACCAGAGAUGGGGAGAACACACAGAAUGGGUAAGAGUAGCUCAGCCCACACAUUAGUAUGCAAAAUAGUCAGAGGCAGUGUCUGAUACUGCCACAACUGUUUAGGUGCAUGAAUUCUACAAUUUGUAAAAACUCAUUGUUUUUCACCUAGUAUAUGUAAGAAUUGAAUAAUAACACAGAGAAAUAAAUUCUAGCAUUAAAGAAUAAACCAGAAAUCUCCUUAAAGGAACACAAGUAACAAAGCCUGGCAGGGGUGGGAAACAGCAGAAAUUACCACAUUUUGCUUGGAUCUUGAAAAUUGUGAAUUCUCAGUGAAGUCCAAUUUUCACUUUUUA